RNAcentral lists this ribosomal RNA (460 nucleotides) under uncultured bacterium. RNAcentral describes it as "partial 16S ribosomal RNA". It matches the Rfam family "Bacterial small subunit ribosomal RNA", at positions 338 to 795 of the family's 1533-position model. The record is from RNAcentral.
CCUACGGGUGGCAGCAGUGAGGAAUAUUGGUCAAUGGGCGGAAGCCUGAACCAGCCAAGUAGCGUGCAGGAUGACUGCCCUACGGGUUGUAAACUUCUUUUAUACGGGAAUAACGCGCCUUACGUGUAGGGCUUUGCAUGUACCGUAUGAAUAAGGACCGGCUAAUUCCGUGCCAGCAGCCGCGGUAAUACGGAAGGUCCGGGCGUUAUCCGGAUUUAUUGGGUUUAAAGGGAGCGUAGGCGGCAUGUCAAGCGUGCUGUGAAAGGUUCGGGCUCAACCCGGGACUUGCAGUGCAUACUGGCGUGCUUGAGUACGCUGAAGGUAGGCGGAAUUCGUGGUGUAGCGGUGAAAUGCUUAGAUAUGACGAAGAACCCCGAUUGCGAAGGCAGCUUGCUGAAGUGGAACUGACGCUGAUGCUCGAAAGCGUGGGUAUCGAACAGGAUUAGAUACCCUAGUAGUC